GAGCCGCGCUUCCUCAAUCGCAUGGGCCAAGUACCUCCCCUCCCCGUCUGCUAGACUCGCCUCCCCGACUGCGGCGCUGCUGUCUGGGAAGUUGAUGAGGGACCCCUGAGUGGAUGGGAUAUUUAGGGGUCCCGUGGGCAGUAGGAUUGGGCUGCAUGCAGUCAUAACCGUUGCCAGGAGAAAACGCAGCUCUGACCCCCUCUGAGCCUCACGCACCCACCCCCAUUCCCCUCUUCAGCACCAGCCUCGUCGGUAUUUCCUGGGUUCGGCUACGGAUCCGCAAAGCCUAGCAGCCCCUCUGUUCGCAAAGUUGUGGUCUUCCUGAAGGGGCUUAAGACAUGGCCUUUGAUUCUCGGGCUGAGGCUGGCUAUUUCAGAAACAAGUGGUUCUGCAGAUCCUUUAUUGGAAUAAUCUGUGUGGUGCCCCUUGACAGUGGAGAUGACUCAUGUUAGCUUUUUUUUUUCCCCUUCAAAUAAACUUUGUAUUCAAGACACAAGCUUGCCAGGUCAUUUGCAACAGUGAUAGAGCUGGAAACCCACACUGCAGGCCUUGAGACCUUGUGCUAGUCCUAGAUGUGUUAGCAAGGAUUAUGGCCUCCAAUAAUGGCAUCAUCGACUUGAUGGACAUGAGUUUGAGUAAGCUCCGGGAGUUGGUGAUGGACAGGGAAGCCUGGCGUGCUGCAGUCCAUGGGGGGCAAAGAGUGGGACAUGACUGAACGACUGAACUGGUGGCCUCCAGUGCAUCACUUCCCCUCUUUGGAGCUCAGUUUCUUUAUCUGCGAAAUGUGGUAUACAGAAUGAGCUGGGCAGUCUUAGGUGCCAGGAGUAGCUGUUUGAGGGAACCUGGUAUCUUUUUCCUUGUGAACCUAGAUCAGCCACACAAAGUCCACCUCAGCCUAUUAUGAAGAAAUUAGGGUGGACUUAACACAGCUCAGAAGCAAGAGAGGCUGCAUAAGCCUGGAGUGGAUGUGCAGUGGAUCCACUUGGAGCAGUCUUACUUGAAGAAUAAUACCCCCAGGGUCUCCCCUUGCUGUGGGAAUAAUCCAAGUCGCCUUUCCUGGAAGUCAGUUUGCUGAAACGACUGAAGCAACAGUUCUUGGAAGUUGAAAAAAAGGAGAUCGAGCGCCUUGACUCGAGGGGCGUGGCCCUCCCAUCGGAACCGGCUCCAGACGCGCCC
Molecule: non-coding RNA, 1176 nt
Organism: Odocoileus virginianus texanus
Lineage: Eukaryota; Metazoa; Chordata; Mammalia; Artiodactyla; Cervidae
Source: RefSeq, a predicted model, not a curated record